RNAcentral lists this ribosomal RNA (425 nucleotides) under uncultured bacterium. RNAcentral describes it as "partial 16S ribosomal RNA". It matches the Rfam family "Bacterial small subunit ribosomal RNA", at positions 354 to 796 of the family's 1533-position model. The record is from RNAcentral.
GUGGGGAAUAUUGGACAAUGGGCGCAAGCCUGAUCCAGCCAUGCCGCGUGAGUGAUGAAGGCCUUAGGGUUGUAAAGCUCUUUCAGUGGGGACGAUAAUGACGGUACCCACAGAAGAAGCCCCGGCUAACUUCGUGCCAGCAGCCGCGGUAAUACGAAGGGGGCUAGGGUUGUUCGGAUUUACUGGGCGUAAAGCGCACGUAGGCGGAUCGUUAAGUCGGGGGUGAAAUCCUGGAGCUCAACUCCAGAACUGCCUUCGGUACUGGCGAUCUUGAGUCCGGAAGAGGUGAGUGGAACUCCUAGUGUAGAGGUGGAAUUCGUAGAUAUUAGGAAGAACACCAGUGGCGAAGGCGGCUCACUGGUCCGGUACUGACGCUGAGGUGCGAAAGCGUGGGGAGCAAACAGGAUUAGAUACCCGAGUAGUCC